Molecule: long non-coding RNA, 337 nt
Filed under: Cricetulus griseus (Chinese hamster)
Lineage: Eukaryota; Metazoa; Chordata; Mammalia; Rodentia; Cricetidae
Description: lncRNA (ENSCGRG00015037098.1)
Source: RNAcentral
CAGCCAAACCUUUGGAGGCCUCAACCUGAGAGACUAGAAAUAAAGAGUGAAGUCAGGGAAACAGAAGAGGAGUGGAUCCAGGGAGAGGAGAUGUAGGUGGAUCUGGGAGGAUUGCAGAAAAGGAAACUGCAUCCAGGAUUGGGAACAAACACUGCUGGAAAGGUAUUAGAUGUCCAAGGAAAGAGCCAAGUCCAGUUACACAUGAUGAUCCCUACAUGAUCUUUGGGAACGUUUUUUAUUCCAUGGUCUUCUGUUGUCUUAAGUACUUCAGAUGUAGACUAGAAAAGACAAACAAUCUCCUGAAAAUAUCUCUACAGAAAGAGCUUUCUCCCAGAAC